RNAcentral lists this ribosomal RNA (482 nucleotides) under uncultured bacterium. RNAcentral describes it as "partial 16S ribosomal RNA". It matches the Rfam family "Bacterial small subunit ribosomal RNA", at positions 28 to 507 of the family's 1533-position model. The record is from RNAcentral.
GUUGAACGCUGGCGGCAUGCUUUACACAUGCGAGUCGAACGGAAACAGGCCGCAAGGUGCUGUCGAGUGUCGGACGGGUGCGUAAUGCAUCGGAACGUGCCCAGUCGUGGUGGGUCACUACUCGCAAGAGUAGCUAAUACCUCAUACGAUCUAUGGAUGAAAGCGGGGGAGCGUAAGGCUUCGCGCGGUUGUAGCGGCCGAUGUUAGAUUAGGUAGUUGGUGGGGUAAAGGCUCACCAAGUCAACGAUCUGUAGCUGGUCUGAGAGGACGACCAGCCACACUGGGACUGAGACACGGCCCAGACUCCUACGGGAGGCAGCAGUGGGGAAUUUUGGACAAUGGGCGCAAGCCUGAUCCAGCAAUGCCGCGUGAAGGAAGAAGGCCUUCGGGUUGUAAACUGCUGUUGUACGGAACGAAACGGUUCUGGUGAAUACCCGGAGAUAAUGACGGUACCGUAAGAAUAAGCACCGGCUAACUACGUG